GACGAACGCUGGCGGCGUGCCUAAUACAUGCAAGUUGAGCGCUGAAGGUUGGUACUUGUACCAACUGGAUGAGCAGCGAACGGGUGAGUAACGCGUGGGGAAUCUGCCUUUGAGCGGGGGACAACAUUUGGAAACGAAUGCUAAUACCGCAUAAAAACUUUAAACACAAGUUUUAAGUUUGAAAGAUGCAAUUGCAUCACUCAAAGAUGAUCCCGCGUUGUAUUAGCUAGUUGGUGAGGUAAAGGCUCACCAAGGCGAUGAUACAUAGCCGACCUGAGAGGGUGAUCGGCCACAUUGGGCCUGAGACACGGCCCAAACCCCUACGGGAGGCAGCAGUAGGGAAUCUUCGGCAAUGGACGAAAGUCUGACCGGGCAACGCCGCGUGAGUGAAGAAGGUUUUCGGAUCGUAAAACUCUGUUGGUAGAGAAGAACGUUGGUGAGAGUGGAAAGCUCAUCAAGUGACGGUAACUACCCAGAAAGGGACGGCUAACUACGUG
RNAcentral lists this ribosomal RNA (497 nucleotides) under uncultured bacterium. RNAcentral's name for it is "partial 16S ribosomal RNA". It matches the Rfam family "Bacterial small subunit ribosomal RNA", at positions 28 to 507 of the family's 1533-position model. The record is from RNAcentral.